AUAAAUCCUGCUGGGUUCAAGCACAGUUUUCGAUUAACAAACACAGAUGGGGAUGUACUGGGUACAGAUUCUAUCUAGGAGAAACGCUUCAAUACAGACAUUGGGAAGGGAGACUGCUGUCACAGGUCUAUGGUUAUGUCAGUAACAAGAUUUUUAUUUUUUGUUUUCCUCGUUUGGAUUUGGCAGAAGGGCUCCUUGAUUCUGCUUGGCCAGAUCACACAGAUCUGCAGGUUUCCACCCUGAUUCUUUAGGUCCAAUGUAGAGAAGAAGUCAAAGCUGAUGCAAGAAAAGGGGGCAGAAGAGUGAAAUAGCAGAGACUUUUGGCAAGACACACUCAAUGAACACUGCAGUCUUCCUGGAAGCAAGUCCAGGUCCCACAGUCAGUGAGCGCCACACUGGCCACCUGGACUGGAGUGUUUUAGCCAUCAGGCUGAGCUCCAGAGGAUGGACAGCAAACAGGACAGCAUUGGCAGGAAUUUGAGAUGCAGCUUCCUGUGUCUGCAAAGCUCAGGAUAACAGAAGGUGCUUUGGCUGCAGUGGCAACUAUAGCCAAAAUGACUGGGAAAUGCCGGAAGAAAACUAAGUCCUUCUUUUUCUCGCCAUCCCCGCAAGUCCUGCACAUAGCUGCCCUACUUGACUCGGUUGCCUGAGCUUCAUUCCUGGCAGGCCCAGGAAUUUGAGGACUGUCUCCUUAAUGUGGCACCACAACAGGGACGAAGUCUAAGCCUGGGAUGCUCAUGACUUGUCCUAUACAAAAUACACAUUUUUCUUGCCUGGUAGAGGUUUAGGCCAAAUAAGCAAACCAGCAGGAGAGUGCAAAGACAAAGAAAUAAAGAUGUGGCUUCACUCCCAGAGCCAAGGACAGAUGAUCUGUGCAGAUGACAGCUCCAAGGACCAAGACCACUUCCCAGAGAGACCUCUUGAAUUCUACAUGCCAUAAUGAGUCUUCAAAUGGAAUCUGAAAUGCUGUUUUUGUACAUUUGAACAUCAGCCAUCCUGAAGAAAAUCCCAGCACAACUCCAAGAUAAAAAUGACAAGCCCUUUGGUCCUCUUGGCAGUAGGCUCACAAAGUAACUUGAAGUGAAAAGGCACUUAAAAAGUAUACAAGACUGUCUUUUUUAAUAUUAACCUCAACAUGAAUAUUGAAGCUCUCUUUAAUCUUCUCAAUAGCCUUUAAGUUUAGAUGGGACUGGAGGUUGCCACAAUCCAGAGUCCCUUUCUGUUCUUCAUCCUUUCCUAAUUUCCAUGCUUCUCAUCUGUGCUGAAAACCAGCCACCUCUCAUCUCCAUCCCAGGCAAAGAGCAAAGCAGAGGAGGCAGACUUGGUCAUGCCCAGAUAUGCUGUCAGCAACUAAUUAACAUCAUGCAGGCUGAAGACUUUUCAUUUCCUGUCUACAGAUGGGGAAGCAAUGCCCUGGAAGGGUCUCUCUAUAUGGCUGUAUCAGCUGCUCUGUAAAACAGACUUGACAACUAUAACUAUCUGUUUUUCACAGUGGUAAUAACACUGGGUAGGGUUGCCAUCCUUGCCCUCAGCAUGCACACACCCAGAGUCAGGCACCACCUUAGCAGGAUGCCCAUAUUUUUCUGUAUGCUAGGAAGUACUGAUGAAUAAUUUAUUCCUGCACAAAGCCCAUGGCAGAGUGGCUUGGGGGUGUUCAUCUGGGUAGCAUUCUUUCUUUAAACCUGCCUUAAAGGCCCUUCACUCCGACAUAUUGAUUGAAUCCUUCCUAUACAUUCCUUUGCCUGCCCAGAUAAAGGCCCUUUGCCAAGAACUAUUAUCUUAUUUUUAAGAUUGUUUACAAAACUACAUGUGCAAAUUAGUGAUUUGUCCAAGUAAGUAUUGUCAAAAGCAGGGUUUACUUUUCCAAAUAAUUAUAUCUGGUUUUACUUCACAUGCCUCUUACUAUUUUUGAAUAUGUU
RNAcentral lists this long non-coding RNA (1919 nucleotides) under Cricetulus griseus (Chinese hamster). RNAcentral's name for it is "lncRNA (ENSCGRG00015033194.1)". The record is from RNAcentral. Lineage: Eukaryota; Metazoa; Chordata; Mammalia; Rodentia; Cricetidae.